Camelus ferus (Wild Bactrian camel) is the source of this 72-nucleotide transfer RNA. It matches the Rfam family "tRNA". From Rfam's summary of the family: Transfer RNA (tRNA) molecules are approximately 80 nucleotides in length. Their secondary structure includes four short double-helical elements and three loops (D, anti-codon, and T loops). Lineage: Eukaryota; Metazoa; Chordata; Mammalia; Artiodactyla; Camelidae. The record is from Rfam.
GUGGGUAUAGCUCAGUGGUAGAGUGGAUGCUUAGAAUGUAUAAGGUCCUGGAUUAAAUCCCCAGUGCCUCUA